GUUGUAUAGUCAAGUAAUUAAGUGCAUGUGGUGGAUGCCUUGGCAGUCAGAGGCGAUGAAAGACGUGAUAGCCUGCGAAAAGCUCCGGGGAGGCGGCAAAUAUCCUUUGAUCCGGAGAUGUCUGAAUGGGGGAACCCACCUACUUUAAGGUAGGUAUUGCAACAUGAAUACAUAGUGUUGCAAGGCGAACGAGGGGAAGUGAAACAUCUCAGUACCCUUAGGAAAAGAAAUCAAUUGAGAUUCCCUCAGUAGCGGCGAGCGAACGGGGAUCAGCCCAUUAAGUUAUGUGUGUUUUAGUGGAACGCUCUGGGAAGUGCGAACGUAGAGGGUGAUAUUCCCGUACACGAAAGGGCACACAUAAUGAUGACGAGUAGGGCGAGGCACGUGAAACCUUGUCUGAAUAUGGGGGGACCAUCCUCCAAGGCUAAAUACUCCUGACUGACCGAUAGUGAACCAGUACCGUGAGGGAAAGGCGAAAAGAACCCCUGUGAGGGGAGUGAAAUAGAUCCUGAAACCGCAUGCAUACAAGCAGUGGGAGCACCUUCGUGGUGUGACUGCGUACCUUUUGUAUAAUGGGUCAGCGACUUAUAUUCAGUAGCAAGGUUAACCGUAUAGGGGAGCCGUAGAGAAAUCGAGUCUUAAUAGGGCGUUUAGUUGCUGGGUAUAGACCCGAAACCAGGCGAUCUAUCCAUGAGCAGGUUGAAGGUUGGGUAACACUAACUGGAGGACCGAACCCACUGUCGUUGAAAAGCCAGGGGAUGACUUGUGGAUAGGGGUGAAAGGCUAAUCAAGCCUGGUGAUAGCUGGUUCUCCCCGAAAGCUAUUUAGGUAGCGCCUCGGACGAAUACCAUAGGGGGUAGAGCACUGUUUCGGCUAGGGGGUCAUCCCGACUUACCAAACCGAUGCAAACUCCGAAUACCUAUGAGUACUAUCCGGGAGACAGACUGCGGGUGCUAACGUCCGUAGUCAAGAGGAAAACAAUCCAGACCGCCAGCUAAGGCCCCAAAAUCAUAGUUAAGUGGGAAACGAUGUGGGAAGGCAUAGACAGCUAGGAGGUUGGCUUAGAAGCAGCCACCCUUUAAAGAAAGCGUAAUAGCUCACUAGUCGAGUCGGCCUGCGCGGAAGAUGUAACGGGGCUAAAACUAUGUGCCGAAGCUGCGGAUNNNNNNNNNNNNNNNNAUGCUGGAGGUAUCAGAAGUGCGAAUGCUGACGUGAGUAACGACAAAACGGGUGAAAAACCCGUUCGCCGAAAGACCAAGGGUUCCAGUCCAACGUUAAUCGGGGCUGGGUGAGUCGACCCCUAAGGCGAGGCCGAAAGGCGUAGUCGAUGGGAAAAUGGUUAAUAUUCCAUUACUUCUGUGUAAUGCGAUGAGAGGACGGAGAAGGCUAAAUCAGCCUGGCGUUGGUUGUCCAGGUGAAAGGAUGUAGGCAUGUAUCUUAGGCAAAUCCGGGGUACUCUAUGCUGAGAUCUGAUAGCAAGCUGUACUUGUACAGCGAAGUGGUUGAUGCCAUGCUUCCAGGAAAAGUCUCUAAGCUUCAGUUACACAGGAAUCGUACCCGAAACCGACACAGGUGGUCAGGUCGAGUAGACCAAGGCGCUUGAGAGAACUCUGCUGAAGGAACUAGGCAAAAUGGUACCGUAACUUCGGGAGAAGGUACGCUGUUGUUGGUGAUGGAACUCGCUUCCUGAGCUGACGACAGCCGCAGAAACCAGGCCGCUGCAACUGUUUAUUAAAAACAUAGCACUCUGCAAACACGAAAGUGGACGUAUAGGGUGUGAUGCCUGCCCGGUGCUGGAAGGUUAAUUGAUGGGGUUAGCGUAAGCGAAGCUCUUGAUCGAAGCCCCAGUAAACGGCGGCCGUAACUAUAACGGUCCUAAGGUAGCGAAAUUCCUUGUCGGGUAAGUUCCGACCUGCACGAAUGGCAUAAUGAUGGCGGCGCUGUCUCCAGCAGAGGCUCAGUGAAAUCGAAAUCGCUGUGAAGAUGCAGUGUACCCGCGGCUAGACGGAAAGACCCCGUGAACCUUUACUGCAGCUUGACACUGAACUUUGACCUUACUUGUGUAGGAUAGGUGGGAGGCUUUGAAGCUGGAACGCUAGUUCCAGUGGAGCCGUCCUUGAAAUACCACCCUGGUAAUGUUGAGGUUCUAACUCUGUCCCGUGAUCCGGGACGAGGACCGUGUCUGGUGGGUAGUUUGACUGGGGCGGUCUCCUCCUAAAGAGUAACGGAGGAGUACGAAGGUGCGCUCAGCGUGGUCGGAAAUCACGCGUAGAGUAUAAAGGCAAAAGCGCGCUUAACUGCGAGACCCACAAGUCGAGCAGGUACGAAAGUAGGUCUUAGUGAUCCGGUGGUUCUGUAUGGAAGGGCCAUCGCUCAACGGAUAAAAGGUACUCUGGGGAUAACAGGCUGAUACCGCCCAAGAGUUCAUAUCGACGGCGGUGUUUGGCACCUCGAUGUCGGCUCAUCUCAUCCUGGGGCUGAAGCAGGUCCCAAGGGUAUGGCUGUUCGCCAUUUAAAGAGGUACGCGAGCUGGGUUUAGAACGUCGUGAGACAGUUCGGUCCCUAUCUACCGUGGGCGCUGGAAAUUUGAGAGGAUCUGCUCCUAGUACGAGAGGACCAGAGUGGACGAACCUCUGGUGUACCGGUUGUGACGCCAGUCGCAUCGCCGGGUAGCUAUGUUCGGAAGGGAUAACCGCUGAAAGCAUCUAAGCGGGAAGCCUACCUCAAGAUAAGAUUUCCCUAGGACUUUAUGUCCUCUAAAGAGCCGUUCGAGACUAGGACGUUGAUAGGUUGGAUGUGGAAGCAUAGUGAUAUGUGAAGCUGACCAAUACUAAUUGCUCGUGAGGCUUGACUAUACAACACCCAAGCAGUUG
This 2873-nucleotide ribosomal RNA is filed under the name Acinetobacter baumannii. RNAcentral's name for it is "bacterial LSU rRNA". It matches the Rfam family "Bacterial large subunit ribosomal RNA". The record is from RNAcentral. Lineage: Bacteria; Pseudomonadati; Pseudomonadota; Gammaproteobacteria; Moraxellales; Moraxellaceae.